This 495-nucleotide ribosomal RNA is filed under the name uncultured bacterium. RNAcentral describes it as "partial 16S ribosomal RNA". It matches the Rfam family "Bacterial small subunit ribosomal RNA", at positions 28 to 507 of the family's 1533-position model. The record is from RNAcentral.
GACGAACGCUGGCGGCGUGCCUAAUACAUGCAAGUAGAACGCUGAAGGAGGAGCUUGCUUCUCUGGAUGAGUUGCGAACGGGUGAGUAACGCGUAGGUAACCUGCCUGGUAGCGGGGGAUAACUAUUGGAAACGAUAGCUAAUACCGCAUAAUAGUAGAUGUUGCAUGACAUUUGCUUAAAAGGUGCAAUUGCAUCACUACCAGAUGGACCUGCGUUGUAUUAGCUAGUUGGUGAGGUAACGGCUCACCAAGGCAACGAUACAUAGCCGACCUGAGAGGGUGAUCGGCCACACUGGGACUGAGACACGGCCCAGACUCCUACGGGAGGCAGCAGUAGGGAAUCUUCGGCAAUGGACGGAAGGCUGACCGAGCAACGCCGCGUGAGUGAAGAAGGUUUUCGGAUCGUAAAGCUCUGUUGUAAGAGAAGAACGAGUGUGAGAGUGGAAAGUUCACACUGUGACGGUAUCUUACCAGAAAGGGACGGCUAACUACGUG